Leopardus geoffroyi (Geoffroy's cat) is the source of this 237-nucleotide long non-coding RNA. RefSeq lists it as uncharacterized. NCBI's taxonomy places the organism in Eukaryota, Metazoa, Chordata, Mammalia, Carnivora, Felidae. The record is from RefSeq and is a predicted model, not a curated record. The transcript has 3 exons.
AACAUGGUUUACUGAAUAUUUUAAGCCUACUGUUUAGAUAUAUUGCUCAGGAAAAAAAUUCGUUUCAAAAUAUGUUUGUAAUAUCUUGUAAUGCACCUGGUCACCUGAGCUCUGAUGGAGGUGUACAGCAAGAUUAAAGUUGUUUUCAUGCCUGCUGACAUAACAUCCAUUCUGCAACCCAUGGAUCGAGGAGUAAUUUUGACUUUCAAGUCUUGUUAUUUAAAAAAAUGUUUUUCA